UGGCUCAGAAUGAACGUUGGCGGCGUGGAUUAGGCAUGCAAGUCGAGCGAGAAUCCCCGCAAGGGGAGGAAAGCGGCGAAAGGGAGAGUAAUACGUAGGUACCCUGCCCUCAGGACUGGGAUAGCCACGGGAAACUGUGGGUAAUACCAGAUAACGUCUCCGGACCAAAGGUGAGAUUCCGCCGGAGGAGGGGCCUGCGUCCUAUUAGCUAGUUGGUAAGGUAACGGCCUACCAAGGCAAUGAUGGGUAUGGGGUGUGAGAGCAUGACCCCACUACAUUGGGACUUGUAGACACUGCCCAGACACCUACGGGUGGCUGCAGUCGAGGAUCUUCGGCAAUGGGCGCAAGCCUGACCGAGCGAACCGUCCACGUGCGGGAUGAAGGCCUUCGGGUUGUAAACCGCUGUCAGAGGGGAGGAAAUUCCGUGGGGUUCUCCCCACGGUUUGUACCUAUCUUCAGAGGAAGUACGGGCUAAGUUCGUGCCAGCCGCGGC
Molecule: ribosomal RNA, 493 nt
Filed under: uncultured bacterium
Lineage: Bacteria
Description: bacterial SSU rRNA
Rfam family: Bacterial small subunit ribosomal RNA
Source: RNAcentral